This 1247-nucleotide ribosomal RNA is filed under the name 'Lactuca sativa' phytoplasma. Its description in RNAcentral is "bacterial SSU rRNA". The record is from RNAcentral. Lineage: Bacteria; Bacillati; Mycoplasmatota; Mollicutes; Acholeplasmatales; Acholeplasmataceae.
GAAACGACUGCUAAGACUGGAUAGGAAAAGUAAAGGCAUCUUCACUUUUUUAAAAGACCUUCUUUGAAGGUAUGCUUAAGGAGGGGCUUGCGACACAUUAGUUAGUUGGCAGGGUAAAGGCCUACCAAGACUAUGAUGUGUAGCUGGACUGAGAGGUUGAACAGCCACAUUGGGACUGAGACACGGCCCAAACUCCUACGGGAGGCAGCAGUAGGGAAUUUUCGGCAAUGGAGGAAACUCUGACCGAGCAACGCCGCGUGAACGAUGAAGUAUUUCGGUAUGUAAAGUUCUUUUAUUAAGGAAGAAAAAAGAGUGGAAAAACUCCCUUGACGGUACUUAAUGAAUAAGCCCCGGCUAAUUAUGUGCCAGCAGCCGCGGUAAUACAUAAGGGGCGAGCGUUAUCCGGAAUUAUUGGGCGUAAAGGGUGCGUAGGCGGUUUAAUAAGUCUAUAGUUUAAUUUCAGUGCUUAACGCUGUUAUGCUAUAGAAACUGUUUUACUAGAGUGAGAUAGAGGCAAGCGGAAUUCCAUGUGUAGCGGUAAAAUGCGUAAAUAUAUGGAGGAACACCAGAGGCGUAGGCGGCUUGCUGGGUCUUUACUGACGCUGAGGCACGAAAGYGUGGGGAGCAAACAGGAUUAGAUACCCUGGUAGUCCACGCCGUAAACGAUGAGUACUAAGUGUCGGGUAAAACCGGUACUGAAGUUAACACAUUAAGUACUCCGCCUGAGUAGUACGUACGCAAGUAUGAAACUUAAAGGAAUUGACGGGACUCCGCACAAGCGGUGGAUCAUGUUGUUUAAUUCGAAGAUACACGAAAAACCUUACCAGGYCUUGACAUUUUCUUGCGAAGUUAUAGAAAUAUAAUGGAGGUUAUCAGGAAAACAGGUGGUGCAUGGUUGUCGUCAGCUCGUGUCGUGAGAUGUUAGGUUAAGUCCUAAAACGAGCGCAACCCUUGUCGUUAAUUGCCAGCAUGUAAUGAUGGGGACUUUAACGAGACUGCCAAUGAAAAAUUGGAGGAAGGUGGGGAUUACGUCAAAUCAUCAUGCCCCUUAUGAUCUGGGCUACAAACGUGAUACAAUGGUUGAUACAAAGAGUAGCUGAAACGCGAGUUCUUAGCCAAUCUCACAAAAUCAAUCUCAGUUCGGAUUGAAGUCUGCAACUCGACUUCAUGAAGUUGGAAUCGCUAGUAAUCGCGAAUCAGCAUGUCGCGGUGAAUACGUUCACGGGGUUUGUACACACCGCCCGUCA